UAGGACUGCUAACACGUGUGAGGAACACCGACUACUUCCCUGACCUCUGAUGUCAUUUUCCCAGCACUCCCUAACUGAGCCGCAGGAGGGAAAGUGGUUUCUGAAUCCAUCGGAUAUGUCGGAUUUCUUUGUGGCAUCCACUCCAUCGCUCAGCAGCCAGCCAUGAUGUCAUAAGCCCAUCAGAUUUCCGAUUCCUCACAGAAGAGACAAACACUUCGGAUGCAGCCAACAAGCACGAAAGGACAGAUCGGCUGCAUCAACUCA
Molecule: long non-coding RNA, 264 nt
Organism: Phodopus roborovskii (desert hamster)
Lineage: Eukaryota; Metazoa; Chordata; Mammalia; Rodentia; Cricetidae
Exons: 3
Source: RefSeq, a predicted model, not a curated record